CAGAGAUGGAUUGGUGCCUUCGGGAACUGUGAGACAGGUGCUGCAUGGCUGUCGUCAGCUCGUGUUGUGAAAUGUUGGGUUAAGUCCCGCAACGAGCGCAACCCUUAUCCUUUGUUGCCAGCGGUUAGGCCGGGAACUCAAAGGAGACUGCCAGUGAUAAACUGGAGGAAGGUGGGGAUGACGUCAAGUCAUCAUGGCCCUUACGACCAGGGCUACACACGUGCUACAAUGGCGCAUACAAAGAGAAGCGACCUCGCGAGAGCAAGCGGACCUCAUAAAGUGCGUCGUAGUCCGGAUUGGAGUCUGCAACUCGACUCCAUGAAGUCGGAAUCGCUAGUAAUCGUAGAUCAGAAUGCUACGGUGAAUACGUUCCCGGGCCUUGUACACACCGCCCGUCACACCAUGGGAGUGGGUUGCAAAAGAAGUAGGUAGC
RNAcentral lists this ribosomal RNA (433 nucleotides) under Enterobacter cloacae. RNAcentral's name for it is "bacterial SSU rRNA". It matches the Rfam family "Bacterial small subunit ribosomal RNA", at positions 1001 to 1434 of the family's 1533-position model. Lineage: Bacteria; Pseudomonadati; Pseudomonadota; Gammaproteobacteria; Enterobacterales; Enterobacteriaceae. The record is from RNAcentral.